RNAcentral lists this transfer RNA (66 nucleotides) under Cryptolestes turcicus. Its description in RNAcentral is "tRNA-Trp". The record is from RNAcentral. Lineage: Eukaryota; Metazoa; Arthropoda; Insecta; Coleoptera; Laemophloeidae.
AAGGAUUUAAGUUAAAAACAAACUAACAGCCUUCAAAGCUGUAAAUAGACCAUUAUCUAAGCCUUG